ACACAAUUGUAUUGUGUUUAAUCAACUUAAAAUGUUUAAUUUUAAAUUUUACUUAAUUAUCAAUCGUUAAAGUAACGUAAAGGGUUUAAUUUCGUGAUUCAAAAAAAACCGGAAGUGACGAUUUCCAACGCAUUUGAUGACGGUGUGGAGGGGAGCAAGAGGUAUCAGUCAGGUAAGAAAAUCUAAAGUUUUUAUUGUGUUAAGUCAAAGUCUUUAAUUUCUCUUAGAGUUUCUGUUUUGAGGUGCUUUUGUUUUGCAGUCUAGUAUUGUGUAAUCGGUUUAUUGCACCGUUAAUAGAUGAUUUUGAAGCGUUGGGAGAUGUGAAAGCGCACGACUCUCUGUAAUGUAUUUACUUUAGUAUAUAUAUAUAUAUAUAUAUACACUAGGGCUGAAACAAUUACUCGACAUUAUCGACAACGUCGACGAUAAAAAUAAAAUUUUCAGCAAAUGUUUUUGAGUAACGUUAGUGGUUUGAUCUCGUAUCUGCCUGAUUUGAAAGCCUGCAUUAAUGCAGUUUGACCAGUGUGGCGCUGUAGCGCAAGAUUGUAAUACACUCUCCUGAUUCAAUUAAAAAGAAGAAGAUAGCACUUCAGUUUGAGGCAAACCGACCCGAUCCGAACCUUGGAUGAAUAUGUUUGUGCAGAAUUUGAGACAUCCAGAAUUACCAUAGGCCCAUUAGAAUCAACAAUCUUUGCCAAACUUGAUUCGGACUGCAAAAUUUACGAAGAUGUUUUCAUACUGAAGAAGAGACCUUGGACAAAUACUGAAACCCUCUUGGUGCCCACUACACAGGCAGGGGUGUCCAGACCUGCUCUAGGAAAGCCAGUGUUCUGUUUGGUUCAGCUCUAACACACCUGCCUGGAACUUCAGACUAAUGAAAUUGAAGUAUCCAAAUGAAGACCCUAGCAGUAUGGAGUAUAUGGAUACAGACGUUGCCAGCAGUCAGGAGGUGAUCCAGAAGACUCAUGGGAAUCUAUUUGAAGCUGCAUCAUUGAAGACAGUCCAGCAGAAGUUGGAGUUUUAAAGGAAAAAGUUCUUC
Long non-coding RNA from Carassius gibelio (silver crucian carp), 1039 nucleotides. RefSeq lists it as uncharacterized. The record is from RefSeq and is a predicted model, not a curated record. Lineage: Eukaryota; Metazoa; Chordata; Actinopteri; Cypriniformes; Cyprinidae. The transcript has 5 exons.